This 2860-nucleotide long non-coding RNA is filed under the name Homo sapiens (human). RNAcentral's name for it is "non-protein coding lnc-SIPA1L2-3:1". The record is from RNAcentral. Lineage: Eukaryota; Metazoa; Chordata; Mammalia; Primates; Hominidae.
GGUUUCAUUCUGUCACUCAGCUGGAGUACAUUGAUGCCAUCACCGCUUACUUGCAGCCUCUCAAACUCCUCAGCUUAAUCAGCAAUCCUUCCACUUUGUCUUCCCAAGUAGCAGGGACUACAGGUGCGCACCAGCACACCCGGCUGAUUUUUUUUUUUUUUUUUUAACAGACAGGGUUUCACUAUGUUGCCCAGGCUAGUCUCAAACUCCUGGGCUCAAGCAAUCCUCCUGUCUUGGCCUCCCAAAGUGUCAUGUCACUACAGGGCCAAGAUCAGCCUCUCUUGCCUGGAUCACAGUAGGGGCCUGAGUGAUUCUUCUGAGUCCAGAUCAAAUCUUGUUACUUUUUUUUUUUUUUUUUUUUUUUUUUGAGACAGAGUUUCGCUCUGUCGCCCAGGCUGGAGUGCAGUGGAGUCUCAGGAUUAGGCCAUUUAACUUACUGGGCCCAGGUGGCAUGUUGCCUGCACGGUGGCCUGGUCCUUGAGCAGGAGGAGGCCGGGAAUGAACCAUUUUCUAAUCAGAUAAGUCCCUGCACUUCUCAGGAGUGGAAGAGUCCCAGAGUUAACUCAUCGAUCCCCUCACAGGCGAAGCGGGGAAGAAGCACUUCUCACUAACAGGCUUCUCAAAAACUCUUCUUCCCUGUAGUGAUUGUUUCAAUAUUAAUAAGAAGAAGCUGUUCUUUCUACAAAUAGGUUAACUACUGGAAAUUUAAUAGAGUAUUUAUUUAAUUCAAGGAGCUAAACAUCUUACCCUUCCUUCAUAUGAACAUUGAUAUUUAGAAUAUAUUUAUUGACAAAAUGAUAAAACAAGAAAUAUUUAACAGUUUAUUUUUCUGUAAGCAAUUCUAAAUGUCUUAUAAUAGCAUGAAUAAAUUCAGCAACCAAAGAAUUAUGUUAGGGUCCUUCCUUGUUGGUGAUUUGGGGCCCAGUUCUGCUUUGAUGGAGCUCUCCUGUGAAGUUAGUUUCAGCAGACGAUGCCUCAGUGGCAGUGUGUGUUUGAAAUUCGUUUCACAUGUGGGAAACACAUAGGGCAGUUUUCUUAUAGCAUGUGAGUGUUGGGGAGGCUUUUCUAGUGUGAUGUUCUGUAUGUUUUGUGUUGUUUCAUGAGGGAAAAUGGAUUUGAGAGAGUGAGCGGUGAGCUAAGAGCAUGCAGUAUAUUCAGGGUAAGCCUGAAUUGGGCAUCAGCAGAACCACUUCAAGACUAGCCCUUUGACUUUCCGGAAUCCUGGUUAGUUUUAAGCUAGAACCUUCUUUUCUUUCUCCUCUUCUUUGUGUCUAGCCUCCACCCUCACCCCCAUCUUCAGCUUAAAACCUCUUACAAAUAGCAUCCCAAAGGCAUCAUUCAUGAGGCUGAACAGUUUUGAAAAGAGCAAGGGAAGUUACUCACUUUUUUCCCAGUGAGCUCUAUGGGCAGUGGAACUCUAAGGUAAUUGUCAACCAUUGUGGAAAGCAAUAUUUUCAUUUGGUUAACAUAUUUGGACCCAUUCGAUCCUCGGUACUAGCAUUAGAAAGAUGAUUUCCAUCUAUUCCUAAUGAAAAUAGGUUUUAUUUCUUUGAAACAUUUAAAGGAACAAAAGCUUAAAUUCCAAAUAUUCCUAAAACCCUAAAAAGGGUUUCAUUUUCGAAUGAGCAUUGGAAGAAAAUGGUCAUUUGUAGCACAGACUCUACCUAAACAUAGUCCACCAUUCCCUCCCUAUUGAAAGUUAGACAGUUCAUAUGAAAGUCAGGAAUCUGAAAUCCUCUUUGGUUGGGGGAGCACAAAAGAUGACUUUUGCAGACCCAGAGCAGAGUUUGAGUCGGGUGGAAUGAGAUUAGUGUGCUGGGGGGAACGUCCGGACCCCUGGCCUUCUCUCCUUUGUGAGGAAUGUGACAGCUGAAAGGAGUCAGAAGCCGCCCGGUGCAGCAGUGACAGCCCAGCAGUGACAGCCCAGCACAAAGGGUGGUGUGCUUUCCGACCUCUGGCCGCCCUUUGCUAGACCUUCAAUUGUAGUUUGGGGCCCAGACUUUGCAUUUUUCUCUUUUAUGGCUUAAUUUAAUUUUAUUUCAACCAGUUUAUUAGAGUGAAGGCCUUCUUUGUUGCCCCGAGGCUUUGUGCCCAUUGGACUGGAAAUUAGAUGAGCUGGGGGUAAGUAUUCUUUGUAUGCAUGAGAGAGUUGGUGACUGGGAAGACACUGAGGGCCAGACCUCACUAGCCAGUGGACCAAUGAUUUCAACCUAGCAACAUCACUUAUUACUAAGGGAAGGGGCAGUUGAAAAGUGGUAAGCAAGGUAAGUCAUCACUAGCAGCUAGCCACGGUUGUGUAGCUGUUCCUGUUCCUCCGAAUGGGCACCUUGGCUGUGUUUCUUUUGUGCCCUCUCAAACUUGGCUCCAUAUUGGAAUCACUGGGAGCAUUGACAACAACAACAAAAACAGAUGCCUGGGCCCCUGCAGAGCUUCUGGUUUAAUUGGAAUGGGUGCAGCCUGGGUGUGGGCGCUGCAGAUCUUCAGGUGAUGGUACAGUGUAGCCGCAGUGGAACACCACUGGCCUGCCUGAGACCUGAGGUGCUUGGGCAUUACCUGCAGGCUUUAUAAAAAAGUUAAAUGGUGUUAGAAUAUUUCAGGGGAGGUUCUGAUUAGAUCUAAGAAUAAGCAUAUGAAAUUUAGAGACUAGGACUUUUUAGGGUUGUUGAACUGGAAAAACUUUGGUGGGAACAAGGGAGCUUAUUGAUUUUUAAAAAAAAAACUUAAAAAGAAUAGCUAGAAAGAGGCUGGGUAAAGGGGCAUUGAAAUUGACUCCCUUAAGCACUGGUCCCAAGAUAUUUGUUUUUCCCAGAAGGAGAGUGAGGAUGGAAACUAAAGAAAUAAAAACUGUCUGGCCAUAGCU